GAAAGUUUCAACUCCCAUAGAGGUAUGAUAGUUUGCCAUGAUUAACACAAUCUUAUUAAUAAGAAGCCUUAUAAAAUAAAAAAUUGAUUGACUGUUAGAUCCAAAGUUUGAGGCCCUUGUAUGCAUGUAUAUUUUCUGGAUUGACGGUACUAAUGGCAGAUAGUUUGGUGAAGACUGGCUUGAACUCCUGGGCUUGUCUUUGAUCCAGACUGGCUAGAUGUUCGUAAUUCAAUCAUGGAAUAGCAGAGACUAGAUUCUUCAUUAAAUAAUUUAGUAUUGAAUAUAUGUAUAAAAUGCGUGCAAGUUCAUUUUAAUUAUAUGUAUAUAUGUAUAAAUGCGUGCAAGUUGAUUAUGUUAGCUUGCAUGUGGCAAGUGCAGACUUGUUUUUUUUUUUUUUUUUUU
RNAcentral lists this unclassified non-coding RNA (402 nucleotides) under Hevea brasiliensis (rubber tree). The record is from RNAcentral. Lineage: Eukaryota; Viridiplantae; Streptophyta; Magnoliopsida; Malpighiales; Euphorbiaceae.